RNAcentral lists this ribosomal RNA (1623 nucleotides) under metagenome. RNAcentral describes it as "bacterial LSU rRNA". It matches the Rfam family "Bacterial large subunit ribosomal RNA", at positions 1290 to 2925 of the family's 2925-position model. The record is from RNAcentral.
UCGAAUGCUGACAUAAGUAACGAUAAAGCGGGUGAAAAGCCCGCUCGCCGGAAGACAAGGGUUCCUGUCCAACUAUCGGGGCAGGGUGAGUCGACCCUAAGGCGAGGCCGAAAGGCGUAGUCGAUGGGAAACAGGUUAAUAUUCCUGUACUUGGUGUUACUGCGAAGGGGACGGAGAAGGCUAUGUUGGCCCGGGCGACGGUUGUCCCGGUUUAAGCGAUGUAGGCUGGUUUUCCAGGCAAAUCCGGAAAAUCAAGGCUGAGGCGUGAUGACGAGGCACUACGGUGCUGAAGCAACAAAUGCCCUGCUUCCAGGAAAAGCCUCUAAGCAUCAGGUAACAUCAAACCGUACCCCUAAACCGCACAGGUGGUCAGGUAGAAGAAUACCAAGGCGCUUGAGAGAACUCGGGUGAAGGAACUAGGCAAAAUGGUGCCGUAACUUCGGGAGAAGGCACGCUGAUAUGUAGGUGAAGCGACUUGCUCGUGGAGCUGAAAUCAGUCGAAGAUACCAGCUGCUGCAACUGUUUAUUAAAACACAGCACUGUGCAAACACGAAGUGGACGUAUACGGUGUGACGCCUGCCCGGUGCCGGAAGGUUAAUUGAUGGGGUUAGCGCAAGCGAAGCUCUUGAUCGAAGCCCCGGUAAACGGCGGCCGUAACGAUAACGGUCCCAAGGUAGCGAAAUUCCUUGUCGGUAGUUCCGACCUGCACGAAUGGCGUAAUGAUGGCCAGGCUGUCUCCACCCGAGACUCAGUGAAAUUGAACUCGCUGUGAAGAUGCAGUGUACCCGCGGCAAGACGGAAAGACCCGUGAACCUUUACUAUAGCUUGACACUGAACAUUGAGCCUUGAUGUGUAGGAUAGGGAGGCUUAAGUGUGGACGCCAGUCUGCAUGGAGCCGACCUUGAAAUACCACCCUUUAAUGUUUGAUGUUCUAACGUUGACCCGUAAUCCGGGUUGCGGACAGUGUCUGGUGGGUAGUUUGACUGGGCGGUCUCCUCCUAAAAGUAACGGAGGAGCACGAAGGUUGGCUAAUCCUGGUCGGACAUCAGGAGGUUAGUGCAAUGGCAUAGCCAGCUUGACUGCAAGCGUGACGGCGCGAGCAGGUGCGAAAGGCAGGUCAUAGUGAUCCGGUGGUUCUGAAUGGAAGGGCCAUCGCUCAACGGAUAAAAGGUACUCCGGAGAUAACAGGCUGAUACCGCCCAAGAGUUCAUAUCGACGGCGGUGUUUGGCACCUCGAUGUCGGCUCAUCACAUCCUGGGGCUGAAGUAGGUCCCAAGGGUAUGGCUGUUCGCCAUUUAAAGUGGUACGCGAGCUGGGUUUAGAACGUCGUGAGACAGUUCGGUCCCUAUCUGCCGUGGGCGCUGGAGAACUGAGGGGCUGCUCCUAGUACGAGAGGACCGGAGUGGACGCAUCACUGGUGUUCGGGUUGUCAUGCAAUGGCACUGCCCGGUAGCUAAAUGCGGAAGAGAUAAGGCUGAAAGCAUCUGCACGAAACUUGCCCCGAGAUGAGUUCUCCUGACCCUUUAAGGGUCCUGAAGGAACGCUGAAGACGACGACGUUGAUAGGCCAGGUGUGUAAGCGCAGCGAUGCGUUGAGUCCGGUACUAAUGAACCGUGAGGCUAA